Molecule: ribosomal RNA, 478 nt
Filed under: uncultured bacterium
Lineage: Bacteria
Description: bacterial SSU rRNA
Rfam family: Bacterial small subunit ribosomal RNA
Source: RNAcentral
UCAUGGCUCAGAAUGAACGUUGGCGGCGUGGAUUAGGCAUGCAAGUCGAGCGCGAUAUGUAGCAAUACAUGGAGAGCGGCGAAAGGGAGAGUAAUACGUAGGUAUCUACCCUCGGGGUCUGGGAUAGCAGCGGGAAACUGCUGGUAAUACCAGAUAACGUCUCCAGACCAAAGGUGUGAUUCCACCUGAGGAGGAGCCUACGGCCUAUUAGCUAGUUGGUAGGGUAACGGCCUACCAAGGCAAAGAUGGGUAUGGGGUGUGAGAGCAUGCCCCCACUCACUGGGACUGAGACACUGCCCAGACACCUACGGGUGGCUGCAGUCGAGAAUCUUCGGCAAUGGGCGAAAGCCUGACCGAGCGACGCCGCGUGCGGGAUGAAGGCCUUCGGGUUGUAAACCGCUGUCGUAGUGGAGGAAAUGUGGGAGAGUUAUCUCUUCUACUUGACUAAUACUAGGAGGAAGGACCGGCUAAUCUCGUG